UACAGAGGUCCCGAGCGUUGUUCGGAUUCAUUGGGCGUAAAGGGUGCGUAGGCGGUCUUCUAAGUUUGAUGUGAAAUCCCGGGGCUCAACCCUGGAAUUGCAUUGAAUACUGGAGGACUAGAGUACCGGAGAGGAAACUGGAAUUUACGGUGUAGCAGUGAAAUGCGUAGAGAUCGUAAGGAAGACCAGUGGCGAAGGCGAGUUUCUGGACGGUAACUGACGCUGAGGCACGAAGGCCAGGGGGAGCAAACGGGG
This 255-nucleotide ribosomal RNA is filed under the name uncultured bacterium. RNAcentral describes it as "partial 16S ribosomal RNA". It matches the Rfam family "Bacterial small subunit ribosomal RNA", at positions 524 to 777 of the family's 1533-position model. The record is from RNAcentral.